AACGAACGCUGGCGGCAUGCCUAACACAUGCAAGUCGAACGAGAUCUUCGGGUCUAGUGGCGCACGGGUGCGUAACGCGUGGGAAUCUGCCCUUUGGUUCGGAAUAACAGUUGGAAACGACUGCUAAUACCGGAUGAUGACGAAAGUCCAAAGAUUUAUCGCCAGAGGAUGAGCCCGCGUAGGAUUAGCUAGUUGGUGUGGUAAAGGCGCACCAAGGCGACGAUCCUUAGCUGGUCUGUGAGGAUGAGCAGCCACACUGGGACUGAGACACGGCUCAGACUCCUACGGGAGGCAGCAGUGGGGAAUAUUGGACAAUGGGCGAAAGCCUGAUCCAGCAAUGCCGCGUGAGUGAUGAAGGCCUUAGGGUUGUAAAGCUCUUUUACCCGGGAUGAUAAUGACAGUACCGGGAGAAUAAGCUCCGGCUAACUCCGUGCCAGCCGCCGCAGUAA
Molecule: ribosomal RNA, 449 nt
Filed under: uncultured bacterium
Lineage: Bacteria
Description: partial 16S ribosomal RNA
Rfam family: Bacterial small subunit ribosomal RNA
Source: RNAcentral